RNAcentral lists this unclassified non-coding RNA (367 nucleotides) under uncultured Pseudomonadota bacterium. RNAcentral describes it as "uncultured proteobacterium contains 16S-23S intergenic spacer region". The record is from RNAcentral. Lineage: Bacteria; Pseudomonadati; Pseudomonadota.
UCCCGGUUGCUCCGGGCAGUCCCGUGUGAGAAAUCCAACACACGGCGAGGGUUGCGCUCGUUGCGGGACUUAACCCAACACCUCACGGCACGAGCUGACGACAGCUAUGCAGCACCUGUGUCCACGUCCCGUAAGGGAAGGUAUCCAUCUCUGGAUACCGUCGUGGCAUGUCAAACGCUGGUAAGGUUCUGCGCGUUGCUUCGAAUUAAACCACAUGCUCCACCGCUUGUGCAGGCCCCCGUCAAUUCCUUUGAGUUUUAACCCUGCGGCCGUACUCCCCAGGCGGAGAACUUAUCGCGUUAGCUGCGCCACUAAGGGUUUCAAAUACCCCCAACGGCUAGUUCUCAUCGUUUAGGGCGUGGACUAC